The sequence is a ribosomal RNA, 3121 nucleotides long. It matches the Rfam family "Bacterial large subunit ribosomal RNA".
CCAAGUUUUUAAGGGCGCACGGUGGAUGCCUUGGCACCAGGAACCGAUGAAGGACGUGGGAGGCCACGAUAGGCCCCGGGGAGCUGUCAACCGAGCUUUGAUCCGGGGGUGUCCGAAUGGGGAAACCCGGCAGUCGUCAUGGGCUGUCACCCGCUGCUGAACACAUAGGCAGUGUGGAGGGAACGCGGGGAAGUGAAACAUCUCAGUACCCGCAGGAAGAGAAAACAACCGUGAUUCCGGGAGUAGUGGCGAGCGAAACUGGAUGAGGCCAAACCAGUCACGUGUGAUACCCGGCAGGGGUUGCGUGGUUGGGGUUGUGGGAUCUCUCUUUUGCAGUCUGCCGGCUGUGAGGCGAGUCAGAAACCGUUGAUGUAGGCGAAGGACAUGCGAAAGGUCCGGCGUAGAGGGUAAGACCCCCGUAGCUGAAACAUUAGCGGCUCGUUUGAGAGACACCCAAGUAGCACGGGGCCCGAGAAAUCCCGUGUGAAUCUGGCGGGACCACCCGUUAAGCCUAAAUAUUCCCUGGUGACCGAUAGCGGAUAGUACCGUGAGGGAAUGGUGAAAAGUACCGCGGGAGCGGAGUGAAAUAGUACCUGAAACCGUGUGCCUACAAGCCGUGGGAGCGUCGCGCAGAGAACUUGUUCUUUGCGUCGUGACUGCGUGCCUUUUGAAGAAUGAGCCUGCGAGUUUGCGGUAUGUUGCGAGGUUAACCCGUGUGGGGAAGCCGUAGCGAAAGCGAGUCCGAAUAGGGCGUGGAGUAGCAUGCUCAAGACCCGAAGCGGAGUGAUCUAGCCAUGGGCAGGUUGAAGCGGAGGUAAGACUUCGUGGAGGACCGAACCCACCAGGGUUGAAAACCUGGGGGAUGACCUGUGGUUAGGGGUGAAAGGCCAAUCAAACUCCGUGAUAGCUGGUUCUCCCCGAAAUGCAUUUAGGUGCAGCGUCGUGUGUUUCUUGCCGGAGGUAGAGCACUGGAUAGGCGAUGGGCCCUACCGGGUUACUGACCUUAGCCAAACUCCGAAUGCCGGUAAGUGAGAGCGCGGCAGUGAGACUGUGGGGGAUAAGCUCCAUGGUCGAGAGGGAAACAGCCCAGAGCAUCGACUAAGGCCCCUAAGCGUGUGCUAAGUGGGAAAGGAUGUGGAGUCGCAGAGACAACCAGGAGGUUGGCUUAGAAGCAGCCACCCUUGAAAGAGUGCGUAAUAGCUCACUGGUCAAGUGAUUCCGCGCCGACAAUGUAGCGGGGCUCAAGUACACCGCCGAAGUCGUGUCAUUGCGAUAUUACUCCUAACGGGGAUCGUGAUGGGUAGGGGAGCGUCGUGUGCCGGGUGAAGCAGCCGUGGAAACGAGUUGUGGACGGUUCACGAGUGAGAAUGCAGGCAUGAGUAGCGAUACAAGAGUGGGAAACUCUUGCGCCGAUUGACUAAGGGUUCCUGGGUCAAGCUGAUCUGCCCAGGGUAAGUCGGGACCUAAGGCGAGGCCGACAGGCGUAGUCGAUGGACAACCGGUUGAUAUUCCGGUACCCGCUUUGAAGCGCCCAAUACUGAAUCAGGCGAUGCUAAGUCCGUGAAGCCGCCCUGAUCUCUUCGGAGUUGAGGGGAGUGGUGGAGCCGACGGACCAGACUUGUAGUAGGUAAGCGAUGGGGUGACGCAGGAAGGUAGUCCAGCCCGGGCGGUGGUUGUCCCGGGGUAAGGGUGUAGGCCGUGUGGUAGGUAAAUCCGUCGCACGUUAAGGCUGAGACCUGAUGCCGAGCCGAUUGUGGUGAAGUGGAUGAUCCUAUGCUGUCGAGAAAAGCCUCUAGUGAGUUUCAAGGCGGCCCGUACCCUAAACCGACUCAGGUGGUCAGGUAGAGAAUACCGAGGCGUUCGGGUGAACUAUGGUUAAGGAACUCGGCAAAAUGCCCCCGUAACUUCGGGAGAAGGGGGGCCAUUUCUGGUGAGGGAACUUGCUUCCUGAGCUGGGGGUGGCCGCAGAGACCAGCGAGAAGCGACUGUUUACUAAAAACACAGGUCCGUGCGAAGCCGUAAGGCGAUGUAUACGGACUGACGCCUGCCCGGUGCUGGAACGUUAAGGGGACCGGUUAGCUUGGAUUCGUUCAGGCGAAGCUGAGAACUUAAGCGCCAGUAAACGGCGGUGGUAACUAUAACCAUCCUAAGGUAGCGAAAUUCCUUGUCGGGUAAGUUCCGACCUGCACGAAUGGCGUAACGACUUCUCGACUGUCUCAACCAUAGGCCCGGUGAAAUUGCAUUACGAGUAAAGAUGCUCGUUUCGCGCAGCAGGACGGAAAGACCCCGGGACCUUUACUAUAGCUUGAUAUUGGUGUUCGGUUCGGCUUGUGUAGGAUAGGUGGGAGACUGUGAAGCGCCAACGCCAGUUGGUGUGGAGUCGUUGUUGAAAUACCACUCUGGUCGUGCUGGAUGUCUAACCUGGGUCCGUGAUCCGGAUCAGGGACAGUGUCUGGUGGGUAGUUUAACUGGGGCGGUUGCCUCCUAAAGAGUAACGGAGGCGCCCAAAGGUUCCCUCAGCCUGGUUGGUAAUCAGGUGUUGAGUGUAAGUGCACAAGGGAGCUUGACUGUGAGACUGACGGGUCGAGCAGGUACGAAAGUAGGGACUAGUGAUCCGGCGGUGGCUUGUGGAAGCGCCGUCGCUCAACGGAUAAAAGGUACCCCGGGGAUAACAGGCUGAUCUUCCCCAAGAGUCCAUAUCGACGGGAUGGUUUGGCACCUCGAUGUCGGCUCGUCGCAUCCUGGGGCUGGAGUCGGUCCCAAGGGUUGGGCUGUUCGCCCAUUAAAGCGGUACGCGAGCUGGGUUUAGAACGUCGUGAGACAGUUCGGUCCCUAUCCGCUGUGCGCGUAGGAGUCUUGAGAAGGGCUGUCCCUAGUACGAGAGGACCGGGACGGACGAACCUCUGGUGUGCCAGUUGUUCUGCCAAGGGCAUGGCUGGUUGGCUACGUUCGGAAAGGAUAACCGCUGAAAGCAUCUAAGCGGGAAGCCUGCUUCGAGAUGAGGGCUCCCUCCUCCUUGAGAGGGUAAGGCUCCCAGUAGACGACUGGGUUGAUAGGCCAGAUAUGGAAGCACUGUAAGGUGUGGAGUUGACUGGUACUAAUAGGCCGAGGGCUUGUCCUC